UAGAUACCCUGGUAGUCCACGCCCUAAACGAUGACAAUUAGCUGUUGGGCUUUGAAAGGCUUAGUAGCGAAGCUAACGCGAGAAAUUGUCCGCCUGGGGAGUACGGUCGCAAGAUUAAAACUCAAAGGAAUUGACGGGGACCCGCACAAGCGGUGGAUGAUGUGGAUUAAUUCGAUGCAACGCGAAGAACCUUACCUGGUCUUGGCAUGUACGGAAUUUUUUAGAGAUAAAAAAGUGCCUUCGGGAACCG
Molecule: ribosomal RNA, 250 nt
Filed under: uncultured bacterium
Lineage: Bacteria
Description: partial 16S ribosomal RNA
Rfam family: Bacterial small subunit ribosomal RNA
Source: RNAcentral